Molecule: transfer RNA, 76 nt
Filed under: Alphaproteobacteria bacterium
Lineage: Bacteria; Pseudomonadati; Pseudomonadota; Alphaproteobacteria
Description: tRNA-Thr
Rfam family: tRNA
About the family: Transfer RNA (tRNA) molecules are approximately 80 nucleotides in length. Their secondary structure includes four short double-helical elements and three loops (D, anti-codon, and T loops).
Source: RNAcentral
GCUGCUGUAGCUCAGUCGGUAGAGCACUUCCUUGGUAAGGAAGAGGUCGCUAGUUCGAAUCUAGUCAGUAGCACCA